UACGGGAGGCAGCAGUGGGGAAUAUUGCACAAUGGGCGCAAGCCUGAUGCAGCCAUGCCGCGUGUAUGAAAAAGGCCUUCGGGUUGUAAAGUACUUUCAGUCGUGAGGAAGGUGUUAAGGUUAAUAACCUUAGCAAUUGACGUUAGCGACAGAAGAAGCACCGGCUAACUCCGUGCCAGCAGCCGCGGUAAUACGGAGGGUGCGAGCGUUAAUCGGAAUUACUGGGCGUAAAGGGCACGCAGGCGGUUAAUUAAGUUGGAUGUGAAAUCCCCGGGCUUAACCUGGGAAUGGCAUUCAAGACUGGUUAGCUAGAGUCUUGUAGAGGGGGUAGAAUUCCAUGUGUAGCGGUGAAAUGCGUAGAGAUGUGGAGGAAUACCGGUGGCGAAGGCGGCCCCUGGGACAAAGGCUGACGCUCAUGUGCGAAAGCGUGGGGAGCGAAAC
RNAcentral lists this ribosomal RNA (441 nucleotides) under uncultured bacterium. RNAcentral's name for it is "bacterial SSU rRNA". It matches the Rfam family "Bacterial small subunit ribosomal RNA", at positions 340 to 774 of the family's 1533-position model. The record is from RNAcentral.